RNAcentral lists this ribosomal RNA (496 nucleotides) under uncultured bacterium. RNAcentral's name for it is "bacterial SSU rRNA". It matches the Rfam family "Bacterial small subunit ribosomal RNA", at positions 37 to 526 of the family's 1533-position model. The record is from RNAcentral.
UAGCGACAGGCCUAACACAUGCAAGUCGAGGGGCAUCAGAAAGUAGCAAUACUUUGCUGGCGACCGGCGCACGGGUGAGUAACACGUAUGCAACCUACCUACUACAGGGGGAUAGCCCGGAGAAAUUCGGAUUAAUACCGCAUAAUACAUUAGAUUUGCAUAAAUUUGAUGUUAAAGAUUUAUCGGUAGUAGAUGGGCAUGCGUUCCAUUAGCUAGUUGGUAAGGUAACGGCUUACCAAGGCAACGAUGGAUAGGGGAACUGAGAGGUUUAUCCCCCACACUGGGACUGAGACACGGCCCAGACUCCUACGGGAGGCAGCAGUGAGGAAUAUUGGUCAAUGGUCGAGAGACUGAACCAGCCAAGUCGCGUGAAGGACGACGGUCCUACGGAUUGUAAACUUCUUUUAUAUAGGAGUAAAAGAUAGGAUGUAUCCUAUAUUGCAAGUACUAUAUGAAUAAGCAUCGGCUAACUCCGUGCCAGCAGCCGCAGUAACAC